RNAcentral lists this ribosomal RNA (322 nucleotides) under uncultured eukaryote. Its description in RNAcentral is "partial 18S ribosomal RNA". It matches the Rfam family "Eukaryotic small subunit ribosomal RNA", at positions 1470 to 1796 of the family's 1831-position model. The record is from RNAcentral.
CCCUUAGAUGUUCUGGGCCGCACGCGUGCUACACUGAGUGUAUCAGCGGGUCAGGUUGCGCGAAAGCGUUUCCUAAUCUUUAAAUCCGCUCGUGAUGGGGAUUGACGGUUGCAAUUUUCUGUCAUGAACGAGGAAUACCUUGUAAGCGCGGGUCAUCAUCCCGCGCUGAAUACGUCCCUGCCCUUUGUACACACCGCCCGUCGCUCCUACCGAUUGAGUGGUCCGGUGAGGCUUUGGGAUCUGAGCGGAAAGAGCGUUUCGCUGUUUCUGCUCGGAAAACUCAGUCGAACCUUAUCAUUUAGAGGAAGGAGAAGUCGUAACA